GCCGGGGUGGCGGAAUUGGUAGACGCAGGCGACUCAAAAUCGCCCGGGAGCAAUCCCUUACGGGUUCGAGUCCCGUCCCCGGUA
Molecule: transfer RNA, 84 nt
Filed under: Gemmatimonadota bacterium
Lineage: Bacteria; Pseudomonadati; Gemmatimonadota
Also listed under: 1 other name
Description: Gemmatimonadetes bacterium (beach sand metagenome) tRNA-Leu
Rfam family: tRNA
About the family: Transfer RNA (tRNA) molecules are approximately 80 nucleotides in length.
Source: RNAcentral